AGACCUGAAUUUGAGGGAUAAAAAGAAAGGCAAUGAAAGCACCCUUCAUGAGUAUACUGCUUGCUUCUAUGGCAUCGCCUCUCAAGGGAUCAUGCCCGGAAAAUACAGCUGCAGUUAUAUGCCAUGGAGCUGCCUUCGUUCCACAAGUAUACUGUAAUGAUGCCGAUCCCGAAAAAUGGCCGUGCAAAAGGCAGCGAAAUAUAAGGUGCGGUUGCGUAGCUGGAUAUGCCCGUGCAAGGAACGGUGAAUGUGUGCGAGUAACAGAGUGCGACAUUAGAAACGAUGUUCGAUUGAUAUAUCCAUACGCUAGUAAUACUCAAUCAGAGGGCAAU
Molecule: long non-coding RNA, 332 nt
Organism: Dermacentor silvarum
Lineage: Eukaryota; Metazoa; Arthropoda; Arachnida; Ixodida; Ixodidae
Exons: 3
Source: RefSeq, a predicted model, not a curated record